RNAcentral lists this ribosomal RNA (392 nucleotides) under uncultured bacterium. Its description in RNAcentral is "partial 16S ribosomal RNA". It matches the Rfam family "Bacterial small subunit ribosomal RNA", at positions 523 to 918 of the family's 1533-position model. The record is from RNAcentral.
ACACGUAGGGGCCUGACGUUGUUCGGAAUCAUUGGGCGUAAAGGGCGCGCAGGCGGCCGUCCAAGUCCGGUGUUAAAUGGUCGGGCUCAACCCGAUCAUGCGCUGGAAACUGGGCGGCUUGAGUCCCGUAGGGGAUGCCGGAAUUCCAGGCGUAGGGGUGAAAUCUGUAGAUAUCUGGAAGAACACCGAUGGCGAAGGCAGGCAUCUGGCCGGAGACUGACGCUGAGGCGCGAAGGCGCGGGGAGCGAACAGGUUUAGAUACCCUGGUAGUCCGCGCAGUAAACGAUGCGCACCAGGUGUCGGGCGGCAGCGCCCGGUACCGGAGCUAACGCGAUGAGUGCGCCGCCUGGGGAGUAUGCCCGCAAGGGUGAAACUCAAAUGAAUUGACGGGG